GCCGUCCUCGGCCCCUAACCAGGAGAUUACCCAAGGAAACCGAGAUGGCGGACAUCAGGACCGUCAAGGUGUGCGACGACACGUGCGGCUGCGCGGUCCCUUGCCCCGGCGGUGCAUCUUGCAGGUGCACCACCCCCACCACCACCGCAGGGGGUGGUGAGGUGAGGCACAAUUUGUGCACGUGCGGGGAGCAUUGCAGCUGCAACCCUUGCACGUGUGGAAGGACAGUGCCGAGCGCCGGAGUUGGCAGGGCGGCUUGCACAUGUGGGGCUGGUUGCACAUGCACGGCAUGCGCCGCGGCUUGAGAGGAGCAGUCGAUAUGUUUCUCGCUUGCUCUGGAGCUAUAGUCGUGCUAUAGCUAGCUAGCUACCUACCAGUAUAUAAAUAAUAUGUGCCGAGCUACCGUGUGUGUGUGUGUGUCUAAUGUAAUAAUUUAGGCUUAUGAUGUAAUAUGACGAGUUUAAAAGUUUUAGUAAUUCACUCGUUGCCUGCAAAGA
Molecule: non-coding RNA, 497 nt
Organism: Elaeis guineensis (African oil palm)
Lineage: Eukaryota; Viridiplantae; Streptophyta; Magnoliopsida; Arecales; Arecaceae
Source: RefSeq, a predicted model, not a curated record